This is a long non-coding RNA of Electrophorus electricus (electric eel), 592 nucleotides long. RefSeq lists it as uncharacterized. The record is from RefSeq and is a predicted model, not a curated record. NCBI's taxonomy places the organism in Eukaryota, Metazoa, Chordata, Actinopteri, Gymnotiformes, Gymnotidae.
GUGAAGAGAAACAGGAAGAGAGAGAGAGAGAAAGGGACAAGGGUAAGAGAAAGAAAGAGAAGAGGGAGAGAAGAAAAUACUUUGGUGGAAGGAGAACUUUUUCAAGGAAAGAGAUCAAAGAGUGAAGUAGUGCAGAACUGGAGACACAUGGCUGCAGAAAUGAGAAGCAACUGGGAAACGUGUCCGUGGCUGAGGUGUGCCUGGUGCACACCAGCUCUGGAAGCUUAGAGAACGCUGCGCUCGGGUGCACCGGGUCCAGGGUCGGGAAGUCCCCAAGGCAGAACAUCUUUUAGUUUUGUGUACUAUGGAAUCAGUGUGUGUGGAAUGUCCCCCUACCCCGAGCUGAUCAAAGACCAUCUUUAAUGUGACAUAUGGAUCAGUGGACACUAACGAAGAAGCCAUGCCCGGCUGAAUCUCCACGACAACAAAGAGCUUGGGACAUCUGGAGAGAGCCACACACAGACUCCUGGUGGGUUGGGGGGGGGGGGGGGGGGUGACAACUACGUCACUGUUUGUGUGAGAUGUUAGGUUAUAGUUGGAACUUUCAGUGACGUCAUUAUUUUGUAUAUGAAUAAACGUUUUGGGUGAUUCA